This 169-nucleotide ribosomal RNA is filed under the name uncultured rumen bacterium. Its description in RNAcentral is "partial 16S ribosomal RNA". It matches the Rfam family "Bacterial small subunit ribosomal RNA", at positions 340 to 524 of the family's 1533-position model. The record is from RNAcentral.
UACGGGAGGCAGCAGUGGGGAAUAUUGGGCAAUGGGCGAAAGCCUGACCCAGCAACGCCGCGUGAAGGAAGAAGGUUUUCGGAUUGUAAACUUCUGUCCUAUGUGAAGAGAAGGGGACGGUAGCAUAGGAGGAAGCCCCGGCUAACUACGUGCCAGCAGCCGCGGUAAU